Molecule: ribosomal RNA, 978 nt
Filed under: uncultured soil bacterium
Lineage: Bacteria
Description: bacterial SSU rRNA
Rfam family: Bacterial small subunit ribosomal RNA
Source: RNAcentral
CAUAUGGAUUCCUACGGGAGGCAGCAGUGGGGAAUAUUGGACAAUGGGCGCAAGCCUGAUCCAGCCAUGCCGCGUGAGUGAUGACGGCCUUAGGGUUGUAAAGCUCUUUCGGCGGGGACGAUAAUGACGGUACCCGCAGAAGAAGCCCCGGCUAACUUCGUGCCAGCAGCCGCGGUAAUACGAAGGGGGCUAGCGUUGUUCGGAAUCACUGGGCGUAAAGGGCGCGUAGGCGGCUUUGUAAGUCGGGGGUGAAAGCCUGGGCUCAACCACAGAAUUGCCUUCGAUACUGCAUGGCUUGAGACCGGAAGAGGUUAGUGGAACUGCGAGUGUAGAGGUGAAAUGCGUAGAUAUCGUAAGGAAGACCAGUGGCGAAGGCGAGUUCCUGGACAGUUGCUGACACUGAGGCACGAAGGCCAGGGGAGCAAACGGGAUUAGAUACCCCGGUAGUCCUGGCAGUAAACGGUGCGCGUUUGGUGUGGGAGGAUUCGACCCCUUCCGUGCCGGAGCUAACGCGUUAAACGCGCCGCCUGGGGAGUACGGUCGCAAGAUUAAAACUCAAAGAAAUUGACGGGGGCCCGCACAAGCGGUGGAGUAUGUGGCUUAAUUCGAUGCAACGCGAAGAACCUUACCUGGGCUUGACAUGCAUCUCUAAGUCGGUGAAAGCCGGCGAGUACCGCAAGGUACAAUUUGCACAGGUGCUGCAUGGCUGUCGUCAGCUCGUGUCGUGAGAUGUUGGGUUAAGUCCCGCAACGAGCGCAACCCCUGUGGCCUGUUGCCACCUACCUUCGGGUAGAGCACUCUGGCCAGACUGCCCUGUGAAACGGGGAGGAAGGUGGGGAUGACGUCAAGUCAGCAUGGCCCUUACGUCCAGGGCUGCACACGUACUACAAUGCCCAGUACAGAACGAGCCGAAACCGCGAGGUGGAGGAAAUCCCUAAAACUGGGUCUCAUAUUCGGAUCGCAGGCUGCAACUCGAUC